Molecule: ribosomal RNA, 493 nt
Filed under: uncultured bacterium
Lineage: Bacteria
Description: partial 16S ribosomal RNA
Rfam family: Bacterial small subunit ribosomal RNA
Source: RNAcentral
GAGUGAACGCUGGCGGUAGGCCUAACACAUGCAAGUCGAACGGCAGCACAGUAAGAGCUUGCUCUUACGGGUGGCGAGUGGCGGACGGGUGAGGAAUACAUCGGAAUCUACUUUUUCGUGGGGGAUAACGUAGGGAAACUUACGCUAAUACCGCAUACGACCUACGGGUGAAAGCAGGGGAUCUUCGGACCUUGCGCGAUUGAAUGAGCCGAUGUCGGAUUAGCUAGUUGGCGGGGUAAAGGCCCACCAAGGCGACGAUCCGUAGCUGGUCUGAGAGGAUGAUCAGCCACACUGGAACUGAGACACGGUCCAGACUCCUACGGGAGGCAGCAGUGGGGAAUAUUGGACAAUGGGCGCAAGCCUGAUCCAGCCAUACCGCGUGGGUGAAGAAGGCCUUCGGGUUGUAAAGCCCUUUUGUUGGGAAGGAAAAGCAGCAGGUUAAUACCCCGCUGUUCUGACGGUACCCAAAGAAUAAGCACCGGCUAACUUCGUG